Molecule: signal recognition particle RNA, 300 nt
Filed under: Otolemur garnettii (small-eared galago)
Lineage: Eukaryota; Metazoa; Chordata; Mammalia; Primates; Galagidae
Description: Metazoan signal recognition particle RNA
Rfam family: Metazoan signal recognition particle RNA
About the family: The signal recognition particle (SRP) is a universally conserved ribonucleoprotein. It is involved in the co-translational targeting of proteins to membranes.
Source: Rfam by way of RNAcentral
GCCAGGUGUGAUAGUGUGAGCUUAUAGUCCCAGCCAACUAGGAGGCAGAGGAGGGAGGAUCACUUAAGCCCGGGAAUUCUAAACUGACUUUAACCCACUAUGCUGCUCAGGCGUCCACAGUAAGUUUGGCAUCGAUAUGAUGGCCUCCUGGGAGUGGGGACCACCAGGUUGCCUAAGGAGGGGUGACUAGGUGGGAAAUUAAGCAGGUAAAAACUCCUCCUGUACUGAUCAGUACUGGGAUUGCUCCUGUGAAUAGCCACUGUACUCCAGCCUGGGCAACAUAGUGAGCCCCCAUCUCUA